CCGGCGCACGGGUGCGUAACGCGUAUGGCAACCUACCAUCAACAGGGGGAUAACACUGAGAAAUUGGUACUAAUACCCCAUAAUAUCUCAUGCGGCAUCGCAUGGGGUUGAAAACUCCGGUGGUUGAUGAUGGGCAUGCGUUGUAUUAGCUGGUUGGUGAGGUAACGGCUCACCAAGGCGACGAUACAUAGGGGGACUGAGAGGUUAACCCCCCACAUUGGUACUGAGACACGGACCAAACUCCUACGGAAGGCAGCAG
This 259-nucleotide ribosomal RNA is filed under the name uncultured bacterium. RNAcentral's name for it is "partial 16S ribosomal RNA". It matches the Rfam family "Bacterial small subunit ribosomal RNA", at positions 95 to 354 of the family's 1533-position model. The record is from RNAcentral.